Molecule: long non-coding RNA, 484 nt
Filed under: Ananas comosus (pineapple)
Lineage: Eukaryota; Viridiplantae; Streptophyta; Magnoliopsida; Poales; Bromeliaceae
Description: long non-coding RNA (ACOM_LNC015954)
Source: RNAcentral
CCAUUGGGCCACUAAACGCCUACACAACUAAGGUUUAUUUUGGUAUUGAGGUCUAUCUGACGCUAUUAGAUAAAAUAGAGUUGGGAUAAAAGCAUAUAGAGAUAUACUUCUAGGUUCUCCGGUGAGACCACAGAAAAUAUAUCAUAGCCGACUCAUCGUGAUAUGCAUAAUGUAAUAUUAUGUACUGAAAUAAACAGAGUAUUUUUCCAUUAUACUUUUUCAUCUUAUGUAACACAAUCUUUCCACAAUUCCAAAUGAAGCCUAACUAGGAGUGAAAGAUAUGGAAAAGCUGUUGGAACUAAAUAAGACUCUGUCUGAGAUUACGAAGAAAUUAUGGUAUGUACAUUGAGAAAGUACGAAAAAAGUCGUGAGCCGAUUAUAAUAUAUUUCCUGCAAUUCCAUCGAAAACAGAGAAAAAUAUUUUUGUAUACUUUUGUUGUAACAUUGUUUUGUCUAUUGGCAUUAGAUGGGUCUCGAUACUAAA